Lotus japonicus is the source of this 1580-nucleotide long non-coding RNA. RefSeq lists it as uncharacterized. The record is from RefSeq and is a predicted model, not a curated record. Lineage: Eukaryota; Viridiplantae; Streptophyta; Magnoliopsida; Fabales; Fabaceae. The transcript has 4 exons.
AAUAAAAAUCACUAGUCUACACGACCUGAACUUCACUUCGACUUUCCAUUUUCACGAUCUGAAAUCCCAAAACUUCUCUUCUCCAGCAUCAACGUCUACGUAGCGAAGCUUCCCAGAUCCCUGAACCACUACUGGUCCAUCGAGGGCGAUUCACGACUUGGACCGUGAGAAGAAGCUGGUCUAUUUUUUUGGUGUGUUGACGCUUUGCUUCCAAUGGAUCUUAAUGGAACACCCUGAAUUCUGCGAUGAAGAAACGAGAAUUUGGUACCCUCUUCCCCUUUCUCCAAUUUUCUCGUAAAAAGUACCCUUUUUCCUUCAUCUUCUGGUUCGGAAUUUGGUAUCGUCCCAGAAUUUUGAUGGUCUCAAUCAUGCUUUUUCUGGGUAUGAUUAUGGGUGAAGACGAAAUUAUUGCUUUAUAGGUUAAUUCUCAUCUUAUACCUGUUUGCGCCUUCUGGGUUUUCUCUCGGGUAAAAAUGCUUUUGCUUUGGGGAGGCUAUGUCGAGGUUUACUUUGAAAAUUUGGAAGAUGGGAAAUUUCUAGCCAUUAAACGGUUGACAAGAGGUAGCAAGGAAGAAAUGACAGUAAAUUUCUUGUCUGAGCAUGGCAUUAUAGUGCAUGUGGACCAGCCAAUGUUACUAGAUUGAGCUGAAGGGGGAUGUUUCUAUUUCUUUAGUUGUCUCCACAUGGCAGUCUUACAUUACAUCCAUCCUUUAUGGUCUCUGGUACAAAGUUCUCUAGCCCAAAGUUCAGUUUUCACUUUCAAUGAAUGGGACAAUUUAUCCAACCAUUACAUUUCAUCCAGGGGUCUCGCUUUCAAGUUGCAUGUGAGGUAAUGUUUGAUGCCAUAAACCCUUGACUCAGUUUAAAUUCAAAAUUCUCAGACGAUUUAUGGAAUGUGGAGAAUUCAUCAUUCAUCCUUAGAUUUUGAGUUCUAUACCAUCUCCAUGACAAAAUCUGCUAUUUUAUGCUCAUAAGUCAUAGCUAUUAAUUAAAAUUACAAAAAACUAAAAUAGUAUUGGCCUGAACUUCUGUUAUAUUUAAGAUGAUAUAUUUAACAUUUUUUUCUCAAGCCAAGCUAGAGACAGUGGUGAGGAUGUAUUGCAUAGUCAAGAAACAAUUGGCACUGCCAGAUGAUACAGUUUUGAUUUUGAUGUGCAAGCUUAGAGAUUUUAUAUCAGAAUAGAUUCAAUUGACCGUGGAAUUCGGAAAGACCCUUACUGAGCUUUGUUGUGAUGCACUAGGAGACUUCAAUCCUAUGGUUCGUGUUUCUGUGUUUUGAAAAGGGCUCAAAGGCAUCAUCUUCAAAGUUUAAAAUAUUGGCAAGACAAUUCUAGAUGACAUCAGCUAGAUAAAUUGAAGGCUUAGUUACACUUAGAAAUUCAUUUUUGGUCUAUUUCAUUUCAAUUUCUACAAUGUAAUAUAUAAUGAUACUUUUGAAAUGGAUGUAACUAAGCUUUAACACAUCUUUUGCUCACAUGGAAGUCCUUCUAUUGACUUUGCUCACUUCGAACACAUUACCAGCGAUGUUGAAUCACAUGUUACUCAUUCGAUUGCUUGAUGGAGAAAUCGUUUGAGCAGUA